AUCAUGGCUCAGGAUGAACGCUAGCGGCAGGCUUAAUACAUGCAAGUCGAGGGGCAGCAUGGUGUAGCAAUACACUGAUGGCGACCGGCAAACGGGUGCGGAACACGUACAGAACCUUCCUUCGAGCGGGGAAUAGCCCAGAGAAAUUUGGAUUAAUACCCCAUAGUAUAGCGGAGAGGCAUCUCUCUGUUAUUAAAGAUUUAUCACUUGAAGAUGGCUGUGCGGCUGAUUAGGUAGUUGGCGGGGUAACGGCCCACCAAGCCCUGCGAUCAGUAACUGGUGUGAGAGCACGACCAGUCACACGGGCACUGAGACACGGGCCCGACUCCUACGGGAGGCAGCAGUAAGGAAUAUUGGUCAAUGGACGAAAGUCUGAACCAGCCAUGCCGCGUGGAGGAUGAAGGUCCUCUGGAUUGUAAACUUCUUUUAUAUGGGACGAAAAAGGUCUUUCUAGAUCGUCUGACGGUACCAUAUGAAUAAGCACCGGCUAACUCCGUG
RNAcentral lists this ribosomal RNA (498 nucleotides) under uncultured bacterium. RNAcentral describes it as "bacterial SSU rRNA". It matches the Rfam family "Bacterial small subunit ribosomal RNA", at positions 16 to 507 of the family's 1533-position model. The record is from RNAcentral.